CCUACGAGUGGCAGCAGUGAGGAAUAUUGGUCAAUGGCCGUAAGGCUGAACCAGCCAAGUCGCGUGAAGGAAGAAGGAUCUAUGGUUUGUAAACUUCUUUUAUAGGGGAAUAAAGGUAUCCACGUGUGGAUAUUUGCAUGUACCCUAUGAAUAAGCAUCGGCUAAGUCCGUGCCAGCAGCCGCGGUAAUACGGAGGAUGCGAGCGUUAUCCGGAUUUAUUGGGUUUAAAGGGUGCGUAGGUUGUUUUUUAAGUCAGCGGUGAAAGUUUGUGGCUCAACCAUAAAAUUGCUGUUGAAACUGGGAGACUUGAGUGUGUGUGGGGUAGGCGGAAUGCGUGGUGUAGCGGUGAAAUGCAUAGAUAUCACGCAGAACUCCGAUUGCGAAGGCAGCUUACUAAGCCAUAACUGACACUGAAGCACGAAAGCGUGGGGAUCAAACAGGAUUAGAUACCCGGGUAGUC
RNAcentral lists this ribosomal RNA (460 nucleotides) under uncultured bacterium. RNAcentral describes it as "partial 16S ribosomal RNA". It matches the Rfam family "Bacterial small subunit ribosomal RNA", at positions 338 to 795 of the family's 1533-position model. The record is from RNAcentral.